AAAAUUUUUUUUUUUUUUUUUUUUUUUUCUGGCCCCCCUCCCACGGUAAUACGGAGGGGAGCUAGCCGUUUUUCGGGAAAUUAUCUGGGGCGUAAAAAACGCCACGUUAGAGCGGCCUUUUUUAAAAUUAGAGGGUGAAAAGCUCGGGAGGGUCAACUCCCAGAAACUGCCCUUUAAGACUGCAUCGCUUGAAUCCAGGAGAGGUGAGUGGAAUUUCCGAGUGUAGAGGUGAAAUUCGUAGAUAUUCGGAAGAAACACCAGUGGCGAAGACGGCUCACUGGACUGGUAUUGACGCUGAGGUGCGAAAACGUGGGGAGCAAACAGGAUUAGAUACCCUGGUAGUCCCACGCCGUAAACAGAUGAUAACUAGCUGUCGCGGGGACUUGGUCUUUGGGUGGCGCAGCUAUACGCAUUAAGUUAUCCCCCUGGGGAGUACGGCCGCAAGGUUAAAACUCAAAUGAAUUGACGGGGGCCUGCACAAGCGGUGGAGCAUGUGGUUUAAUUUGAAGCAACGCGCAGAACCUUACCAGCGUUUGACAUGUCCGGACGAUUUCCAGAGAUGGAUCUCUUCCCUUCGGGGACUGGAACACAGGUGCUGCAUGGCUGUCGUCAGCUCGUGUCGUGAGAUGUUGGGUUAAGUCCCGCAACGAGCGCAACCCUCGCCUUUAGUUACCAUCAUUCAGUUGGGGACUUUAAAGGAACCUCCGGUGAUAAACCGGAGGAAGGUGGGGAUGACGUCAAGUCCUCAUGGCCCUUACGCGCUGGGGUACACCCGUGCUACAAUGGCGGUGACAGUGGGCAGCAAACUCGCGAGAGUGCGCUAAUUUCCAAAAACCCUCUCAGUUCGGAUUGUUCUCUGCACCUCGAGAGCAUGAAGGCGGAAUCUCUAGUAAUCUCGGAUCAGCAUGCCGCGGGGAAUACGUUUCCAGGCCUUGUACACACCGCCCCUCACACCAUGGGAGUUGGGUUCACCCCAAGGCGUUGCACUAACUCCCAAGAGAGGCAGGCGACCACGGUGGGCUUAGCGACUGGGGUGAAGUAUAACAAGAGCCUACCGGG
This 1059-nucleotide ribosomal RNA is filed under the name bacterium. Its description in RNAcentral is "partial 16S ribosomal RNA". It matches the Rfam family "Bacterial small subunit ribosomal RNA". The record is from RNAcentral.